RNAcentral lists this ribosomal RNA (501 nucleotides) under uncultured bacterium. Its description in RNAcentral is "partial 16S ribosomal RNA". It matches the Rfam family "Bacterial small subunit ribosomal RNA", at positions 29 to 523 of the family's 1533-position model. The record is from RNAcentral.
AUUGAACGCUGGCGGCAUGCCUUACACAUGCAAGUCGAACGGCAGCACGGGUGCUUGCACCUGGUGGCGAGUGGCGAACGGGUGAGUAAUACAUCGGAACGUACCUUAUCGUGGGGGAUAACGCAGCGAAAGCUGUGCUAAUACCGCAUACGCCCUGAGGGGGAAAGCGGGGGAUCGCAAGACCUCGCGCGAUUAGAGCGGCCGAUGCCUGAUUAGCUAGUUGGUGGGGUAACAGCCCACCAAGGCGACGAUCGGUAGCUGGUCUGAGAGGACGACCGGCCACACUGGGACUGAGACAAGGCCCACACUCCUACUGGAGUCAGCAGUGGGGAAUUUUGGACAAUGGGGACAACCCGGACCCCGCAGUGCCGCGUGAGUGAAGAAGGCCUUCGGGUUGUAAAGCUCUUUUGUCAGGGAAGAAACACCGGCUCUAACACAGUCCGGGAAUGACGGUACCUGAAGAAGAAGCACCGGCUAACUACGUGCCAGCAGCCGCCGCCG